RNAcentral lists this ribosomal RNA (493 nucleotides) under Trichocomaceae sp. Its description in RNAcentral is "SSU rRNA". It matches the Rfam family "Eukaryotic small subunit ribosomal RNA", at positions 663 to 1161 of the family's 1831-position model. Lineage: Eukaryota; Fungi; Ascomycota; Eurotiomycetes; Eurotiales; Trichocomaceae. The record is from RNAcentral.
GCCUCACCGCGAGUACUGGUCCGGCUGGGCCUUUCCUUCUGGGGAACCUCAUGGCCUUCACUGGCUGUGGGGGGAACCAGGACUUUUACUGUGAAAAAAUUAGAGUGUUCAAAGCAGGCCUUUGCUCGAAUACAUUAGCAUGGAAUAAUAGAAUAGGACGUGUGGUUCUAUUUUGUUGGUUUCUAGGACCGCCGUAAUGAUUAAUAGGGAUAGUCGGGGGCGUCAGUAUUCAGCUGUCAGAGGUGAAAUUCUUGGAUUUGCUGAAGACUAACUACUGCGAAAGCAUUCGCCAAGGAUGUUUUCAUUAAUCAGGGAACGAAAGUUAGGGGAUCGAAGACGAUCAGAUACCGUCGUAGUCUUAACCAUAAACUAUGCCGACUAGGGAUCGGACGGGAUUCUAUAAUGACCCGUUCGGCACCUUACGAGAAAUCAAAGUUUUUGGGUUCUGGGGGGAGUAUGGUCGCAAGGCUGAAACUUAAAGAAAUUGACGGAG